This 253-nucleotide ribosomal RNA is filed under the name uncultured bacterium. Its description in RNAcentral is "partial 16S ribosomal RNA". It matches the Rfam family "Bacterial small subunit ribosomal RNA", at positions 524 to 776 of the family's 1533-position model. The record is from RNAcentral.
UACAGAGGUCUCAAGCGUUGUUCGGAUUCAUUGGGCGUAAAGGGUGCGUAGGCGGCGCGGUAAGUCGGAUGUGAAAUCUCGGAGCUUAACUCCGAAACUGCAUUCGAUACUGCCGUGCUUGAGGACUGGAGAGGAGACUGGAAUUUACGGUGUAGCGGUGAAAUGCGUAGAUAUCUGGAGGAACACCGGUGGCGAAGGCGACAUCCUGGACCGGUAUUGACGCUGAGGCGCGAAAGCCAGGGGAGCAAACAGG